CAGUAGCCACGGUAAUACAGAGGGUGCAAGCGUUAAUCGGAUUUACUGGGCGUAAAGGGCGCGUAGGUGGUUAUUUAAGUGAGAUGUGAAAGCCCCGGGCUUAACCUGGGAACUGCAUCUUAUACUGGGUAACUGGAGUGCAGUAGAGGGUAGUGGAAUUUCCGGUGUAGCGGUGAAAUGCGUAGAUAUCGGAAGGAACACCAGUGGCGAAGGCGGCUACCUGGACUGAGACUGACACUGAGGCGCGAGAGCGUGGGGAGCAAACGGGAUUAGAUACCCCGGUAGUCCCUGUCUCUUAUAC
This 301-nucleotide ribosomal RNA is filed under the name uncultured bacterium. Its description in RNAcentral is "partial 16S ribosomal RNA". It matches the Rfam family "Bacterial small subunit ribosomal RNA", at positions 509 to 807 of the family's 1533-position model. The record is from RNAcentral.